This is a non-coding RNA of Schistocerca cancellata (South American locust), 72 nucleotides long. The record is from the annotation of a RefSeq genome assembly. Lineage: Eukaryota; Metazoa; Arthropoda; Insecta; Orthoptera; Acrididae.
GCCAGGGUGGCGUAGUGGUUAGUGCAUCUGCCUUGUGAGCAGGCGUCCUGGGUUCGAGUCCCGGCCUUGGUA